AUCGCUUCCAGCCUAUUGACUAAGAUCAAGUACAGUGUGGGUUCUUGUCAGUUUAAUAUCUGAUACUUUCCCUAUCCGGGGACCAUAUAGUACAUGGGUUUUUCAGUAUGAUGGCCCAUGUGGAAGCUUGCUUCCAUCGCCCCAUGCAUUGUCCCACUUUGGUGGUAUUUUUGGGUACCAUACAACAAAA
Hyla sarda is the source of this 190-nucleotide small nuclear RNA. RefSeq annotates it as U2 spliceosomal RNA. The transcript has a single exon. NCBI's taxonomy places the organism in Eukaryota, Metazoa, Chordata, Amphibia, Anura, Hylidae. The record is from RefSeq and is a predicted model, not a curated record.